RNAcentral lists this ribosomal RNA (619 nucleotides) under uncultured bacterium. Its description in RNAcentral is "bacterial SSU rRNA". The stretch from base 1 to 521 matches the Rfam family "Bacterial small subunit ribosomal RNA", at positions 338 to 873 of the family's 1533-position model. The record is from RNAcentral.
CCUACGGGAGGCAGCAGUGGGGAAUAUUGCACAAUGGGCGCAAGCCUGAUGCAGCAACGCCGCGUGAGGGACGACGGCCUUCGGGUUGUAAACCUCUUUUAGUAGGGAAGAAGCGAAAGUGACGGUACCUGCAGAAAAAGCACCGGCUAACUACGUGCCAGCAGCCGCGGUAAUACGUAGGGUGCAAGCGUUGUCCGGAAUUAUUGGGCGUAAAGAGCUCGUAGGCGGUUUGUCGCGUCUGCUGUGAAAACCCGAGGCUCAACCUCGGGCCUGCAGUGGGUACGGGCAGACUAGAGUGCGGUAGGGGAGAUUGGAAUUCCUGGUGUAGCGGUGGAAUGCGCAGAUAUCAGGAGGAACACCGAUGGCGAAGGCAGAUCUCUGGGCCGUAACUGACGCUGAGGAGCGAAAGCAUGGGGAGCGAACAGGAUUAGAUACCCUGGUAGUCCAUGCCGUAAACGUUGGGAACUAGAUGUAGGGACCAUUCCACGGUUUCUGUGUCGCNGCUACGCAUAGUUCCCGUCCGUCGGGUAGGUACGGCCGGCGACGGACGAAACGUACUAAUAGUAAGUUAGUUACGGUCGUUGAGACGUUGCCGACGGCGACGACGAGGGAGGUUAGG